This is a long non-coding RNA of Microtus ochrogaster (prairie vole), 391 nucleotides long. RefSeq lists it as uncharacterized. NCBI's taxonomy places the organism in Eukaryota, Metazoa, Chordata, Mammalia, Rodentia, Cricetidae. The record is from RefSeq and is a predicted model, not a curated record.
UGCUGAGUCCGCGAUGGAGUACCGCAUCCUGAGGUGAGCCACAGGAGUCUGGAACACUUGAGACGGGCUGAGAGUUUUAAACCGGUUGUGGUCUGGUGCUGAACUUCGGAAGGACAUUUGAGUUUGAGAGGUUUUAUGGACUCAGGCUCACCACCCUAUCAGACAUCCCUGCUGGAGGUGAAACCGUCUUUACAAGGGAGCACAGUGCAUAGCCAUACCGACUGACUGAUGAAGAGACUAUCCCACUACAGUGCUGUGAGAGCAAACCAAACUGCGCCACUUGGCAACUCCUUGCUCAUCUUCAGAGAUCCUCAGGCGCUUCGCAGACACGCAAGGCUGCAUGAGGAACUGGGUAAACAAUUGUUCAAACAAUGCAUCUGCUGUCUCCUUU